This is a non-coding RNA of Peromyscus maniculatus bairdii (prairie deer mouse), 191 nucleotides long. NCBI's taxonomy places the organism in Eukaryota, Metazoa, Chordata, Mammalia, Rodentia, Cricetidae. The record is from RefSeq and is a predicted model, not a curated record.
AGGCAGAGGCAGGGAGAACUGACAGCUGCCGUGAUGAGGAGCAGAAUGUAAAGUACUGGUAGGCCACAAGCCACCUGCCAAGGUAUAUAUUUAUAGAAAUGGGUUAAUUUAAGAUAUAAGAACUAGAUAGCAAGAAGCCUGAGCCACAUGGCCAUACAGUUUAUAAAUAAUAUAAGCAUUUGUGUGUUUAU